RNAcentral lists this unclassified non-coding RNA (256 nucleotides) under plant metagenome. Its description in RNAcentral is "partial contains 5.8S ribosomal RNA and internal transcribed spacer 2". The stretch from base 1 to 104 matches the Rfam family "5.8S ribosomal RNA", at positions 51 to 154 of the family's 154-position model. The record is from RNAcentral.
AAAUGCGAUAAGUAAUGUGAAUUGCAGAAUUCAGUGAAUCAUCGAAUCUUUGAACGCACCUUGCGCUCCUUGGUAUUCCGAGGAGCAUGCCUGUUUGAGUGUCAUGGAAUUCUCAACUCUAUUUGCUUUUGUGAAUAGAGCUUGGAUUUGGAGGUUUAUUGCUGGUACUUGUGAUCGGCUCCUCUUGAAUGCAUUAGCUCGAACCUUUGCGGAUCAGCUAUCGGUGUGAUAAUUGUCUACGCCGUUGCAGUGAAGC